RNAcentral lists this ribosomal RNA (224 nucleotides) under uncultured bacterium. Its description in RNAcentral is "partial 16S ribosomal RNA". It matches the Rfam family "Bacterial small subunit ribosomal RNA", at positions 1277 to 1500 of the family's 1533-position model. The record is from RNAcentral.
UAAAAGCCAUCCCAGUUCGGAUUGCAGGCUGCAACCCGCCUGUAUGAAGUUGGAAUCGCUAGUAAUCGCGGAUCAGCAUGCCGUGGUGAAUACGUUCCCGGGCCUUGUACACACCGCCCGUCACACCAUGAGAGUCGGGAACACCCGAAGUCCGUAGCCUAACCGCAAGGAGGGCGCGGCCGAAGGUGGGUUCGAUAAUUGGGGUGAAGUCGUAACAAGGUACC